This is a long non-coding RNA of Danio rerio (zebrafish), 524 nucleotides long. Lineage: Eukaryota; Metazoa; Chordata; Actinopteri; Cypriniformes; Danionidae. The record is from RefSeq and is marked validated.
AUAACUGCAGUGUCUCUGGGAGUCGAUUCCUGUCUUCGAGUCAAUUUCAGCACUUGAGGAAUCGAGGAAUCGACUCUUUGGAGUCGACUCCCUAAUACAUAAACAACGGCUUUCGAUCUGCCUGUCAACAAAACUGCUCAUGCGGCUACUUUCUCGCUGCUUUCGCCAAUUUCAGGCAGCUGAAAGACAACGGGACGAUAGACAAAGAAGAGCUGCAACAAGUUCUGCAUUUGUGCAUUACUCACAGAAUUUGUCAAUGCAGAAAUGUGGCUUCCAAUGGCCAUCCUAUCACGAUGUAUCACCUGCCACACCUUUUUGGAGCAAGAGAUUACCUAAAGCCAGUUUCUCAGGAGGCUAUAGAACCCUGUCAAGAGGAAUAUCUUCUGAGAGGGCCAUACUCAUGUGAUGAGAUCCACAAACAACACCUGAUGAAGCUUGAUGUUUUUGAGGAGCUGUAUGGUUUCAAUUCUGUAAGCAACAAUUGUAACAACAUACAUCACUUGAAAUAUAUACAUUUUAUUAUU